This 358-nucleotide ribosomal RNA is filed under the name uncultured bacterium. RNAcentral describes it as "bacterial SSU rRNA". It matches the Rfam family "Bacterial small subunit ribosomal RNA", at positions 29 to 416 of the family's 1533-position model. The record is from RNAcentral.
AACGAACGCUGGCGGCAGGCCUAACACAUGCAAGUCGAACGCUCCGCGAGGGGAGUGGCGCACGGGUGAGUAACACGUGGGAACCUACCUUCUGGUACGGAACAACCAAGGGAAACUUUGGCUAAAACCGUAUACGACCUCCGGGUGAAAGAUUGAUCGCCGGAAGAGGGGCCCGCGUCCGAUUAGGUAGUUGGUGAGGUAACGGCUCACCAAGCCUACGAUCGGUAGCUGGUCUGAGAGGAUGGCCAGCCACACUGGGACUGAGACACGGCCCAGACUCCUACGGGAGGCAGCAGUGGGGAAUAUUGGACAAUGGGCGCAAGCCUGAUCCAGCCAUGCCGCGUGAGUGAUGAAGGCC